Molecule: non-coding RNA, 457 nt
Organism: Propithecus coquereli (Coquerel's sifaka)
Lineage: Eukaryota; Metazoa; Chordata; Mammalia; Primates; Indriidae
Source: the annotation of a RefSeq genome assembly
CUCAGAGGCAGAGCUCUGGAGUCUCACCAUGGCCUGGACCUCUCUCCUGCUCCCCCUCCUCACUCUCUGCACAGGUUUUGUGGCCUCUGAUGAGCUGACACAGCCGCACUCGGUGUCAGUGUCCCCAGGACAGACGGCCAAGAUCACCUGCUCUGGAGAUUCACUGGCGAAAAAAUAUGCUUCCUGGCUCCAGCAGAAACCAGGCCAAUCCCCUGUGCUGGUGAUCUAUAAAGAUAGUGAGCGGCCCUCAGGGAUCCCUGAGAGGUUCUCUGGGUCCAGCUCAGGGACAACAGUCACCUUGACCAUCACUGGGGCUCAGGUUGAAGAUGAAGCUGACUAUUACUGUCAGUCACGGGACAGCAGUGGUACUCAUCCCACAGUGACACAGGCAGAUGGGGAAGCUCUGUGUCCUCUCAGGGUGCUCAGGGCCAUGGUGCAGACAGUCCUCAGCUGCUGA